This 253-nucleotide ribosomal RNA is filed under the name uncultured bacterium. Its description in RNAcentral is "partial 16S ribosomal RNA". It matches the Rfam family "Bacterial small subunit ribosomal RNA", at positions 524 to 776 of the family's 1533-position model. The record is from RNAcentral.
CACGUAGGGCGCAAGCGUUGUCCGGAAUUAUUGGGCGUAAAGAGCUCGUAGGCGGCCAGUUACGUCCGCUGUGAAAUCCCGGGGCUCAACCCCGGGCGUGCAGUGGAUACGGGCUGGCUGGAGGCAGGCAGGGGAGAACGGAAUUCCUGGUGUAGCGGUGAAAUGCGCAGAUAUCAGGAGGAACACCGGUGGCGAAGGCGGUUCUCUGGGCCUGUUCUGACGCUGAGGAGCGAAAGCGUGGGGAGCGAACAGG